GUGGGUAGUUUGACUGGGGCGGUCUCCUCCUAAAGAGUAACGGAGGAGCACGAAGGUUGGCUAAUCCUGGUCGGACAUCAGGAGGUUAGUGCAAUGGCAUAAGCCAGCUUGACUGCGAGCGUGACGGCGCGAGCAGGUGCGAAAGCAGGUCAUAGUGAUCCGGUGGUUCUGAAUGGAAGGGCCAUCGCUCAACGGAUAAAAGGUACUCCGGGGAUAACAGGCUGAUACCGCCCAAGAGUUCAUAUCGACGGCGGUGUUUGGCACCUCGAUGUCGGCUCAUCACAUCCUGGGGCUGAAGUAGGUCCCAAGGGUAUGGCUGUUCGCCAUUUAAAGUGGUACGCGAGCUGGGUUUAGAACGUCGUGAGACAGUUCGGUCCCUAUCUGCCGUGGGCGCUGGAGAACUGAGGGGGGCUGCUCCUAGUACGAGAGGACCGGAGUGGACGCAUCACUGGUGUUCGGGUUGUCAUGCCAAUGGCACUGCCCGGUAGCUAAAUGCGGAAGAGAUAAGUGCUGAAAGCAUCUAAGCACGAAACUUGCCCCGAGAUGAGUUCUCCCUGAGACUUAGAGUCUCCUGAAGGAACGUUGAAGACGACGACGUUGAUAGGCCGGGUGUGUAAGCGCAGCGAUGCGUUGAGCUAACCGGUACUAAUGAACCGUGAGGCUUAAC
This 667-nucleotide ribosomal RNA is filed under the name Salmonella enterica subsp. enterica serovar Thompson. RNAcentral's name for it is "partial 23S ribosomal RNA". It matches the Rfam family "Bacterial large subunit ribosomal RNA", at positions 2261 to 2925 of the family's 2925-position model. The record is from RNAcentral. Lineage: Bacteria; Pseudomonadati; Pseudomonadota; Gammaproteobacteria; Enterobacterales; Enterobacteriaceae. RNAcentral also lists the same sequence under 2 other names.